CUGUCUUCCAACAGCGGCCAAUGCCAGGUGCCCCAGAGGGAAUGAACAGAACAGGUUUACACUAUAUGUGUGACUGGUAGGUGGGGCCAGCAGGGAUGAAAGUGUGGCGGGAGCCUGUGAGCAAUGAAGCCUGGUGACUCAAAUGCACAAAUGGAAAGGAAAAGGCAAGAGGCGGUAAAGAGAAGAUGGACUGUGUGCGUAGGCCACUCUGUGCUGAGACUGGGAUAAAACAG
Molecule: long non-coding RNA, 233 nt
Organism: Trachemys scripta elegans
Lineage: Eukaryota; Metazoa; Chordata; Testudines; Emydidae
Exons: 3
Source: RefSeq, a predicted model, not a curated record